This 378-nucleotide ribosomal RNA is filed under the name uncultured archaeon. Its description in RNAcentral is "bacterial SSU rRNA". It matches the Rfam family "Archaeal small subunit ribosomal RNA", at positions 1073 to 1456 of the family's 1478-position model. The record is from RNAcentral.
AGGAAUGUUUUCCAAGGGGGCACUCUACGUGGGACUGCCGUCGAUAAGACGAGGAAGGAGCGGGCCACGGCAGGUCAGAUGCCCCGAAUCCCCCGGGCUACUCGCGAGCUGCAAUGGCAGGACAAUGGGUUCCGACCUUAUAAAGAAGGCAAUCUUAAACCCUGCCUCAGUUGGGGUCGAGGCUAAACUCGCCUUCGUAACAUGAAUGCCUAGAAUUGCGCGUCAUCAUCGCGCGGUGAAUACGUCCCCGCUCCUUGCACACACCGCCCGUCGCUCCAUCCGACGUGGGGUUUGGGUGAGGCGUGGUCUUUUUGGCUGGCGUCGAAUCUCGAUGUUCCGCAAGGAGGGAGAAGUCGUAACAACGGUAGCCGUAAUCAU